GAUGAAGAACGUAGCGAAAUGCGAUAAGUAAUGUGAAUUGCAGAAUUCAGUGAAUCAUCGAAUCUUUGAACGCACAUUGCGCCCGCCAGUAUUCUGGCGGGCAUGCCUGUCUGAGCGUCAUUUCAACCCUCAGCCCCCGCUCGCGGGGCGCUGGCGUUGGGGAUCGGCCGUCCUCGCGGCGGCCGGCCCCGAAACACAGUGGCGGUCUCUCGCGGACUCCCCUGCGUAGUAGCCCUACCUCGCAGAAGGGACGAGCGGGCUGACCACGCCGUAAAACCCCCCACUUCUCCAGGUUGACCUCAGAUCAGGUAGGAAUACCCGCUGAACUUAAGCAUAUCAAUAAGCGGAGGA
RNAcentral lists this unclassified non-coding RNA (351 nucleotides) under soil metagenome. Its description in RNAcentral is "partial contains 5.8S ribosomal RNA, internal transcribed spacer 2, and large subunit ribosomal RNA". The stretch from base 1 to 120 matches the Rfam family "5.8S ribosomal RNA", at positions 35 to 154 of the family's 154-position model. The record is from RNAcentral.